UUGUGGUGGGCGGCGGUCUCCGAGGGCAACAUGGCGUCCAGGGGCAGACCGGCUCUCAGGUCGUCUGCGAUGCUGCGUAGCGUCACCGUCCUGUUGUCCAGCAGCAGCUCGUCCAGCUCGUCUGCAGAAGCACACACGCACGGCCUUCUGGGUAAUCACGCACACGAUCACUUCCUGAAGCACGACUUUAUUCAUUGUGAGGCGUCCGUGACGUCAUCCAGCCACGGGUUGAACGUGUCCUUCUCCCGCUGUGUCGAGUCUUUACGUCAUAACAAUCAGAGAGGCGCUCGCGCGGACCGGAUGUUGACCGUUGAGCACGUGUUUACCUGAGUGUGAGAUCCAGUGCAGCAGCUUCGGCAGCUCGGCGGGAACCACUCUGCUCAGCAGCUGCUUCAGCUCCGACCUCGCCUCGGUGAAGUCCAUGGUGAGGAGGGACCGGGAGAAGGGACCGGGAGAAGCGGCUGCACGAGGCGGCUGCAGCUCCGCUCUGGAGCUCACAGGACCCGGUCGGCGCGUUAAGGUGGAACCGGGAACACGAGCUUCAUCGAACCAACGAUCGAACAGGUUUUCACGUCAAGUCGCCUCUCAGAGUGAAGUGACGUCAGACAUCUGACGUAGACGCGGAAAUGAGUGACUCAAGACGCUUAGAUUUAAAAUGGCAUUGAUUUGUCCUUGCGACUGUUCAGACGACCUUAACAGACGCGUUCCCGCCCAGAAACACUGAACAACAACAACACAGUUGAACAGCUGGGACAAGACGACGUGUCACAGACAGAACUAGAUUUGUUUUGCCGAGUGUUUUUUACGCCGACUUGAGGAGCAGCUCGCUGUGGUUCAGAAAACCUCCACACUUUAAUCUUAUCGCUGUAUUUUUUACUGUAAAUCUGAAUGUUGCGCUAAUUCGGCGCAGAUCUUAGCGGGGUCUCGUGUUAGCUUCAAUGCUACAGAUCUCGCCGUCUGUCGGCGGCUGUGGGUGAAGGUUUUUUUAGCCGACAGUGAAUUCCGCUCAGAAAAGCGCUGGUUUGUGAAACUGCGCAGGUUUACUGAGAAAAUACAAAGACAAACGAGAAACGAAAAGCUCCUCUGAAUCAGAGCGAGUUGCUCUUGAAUUCGGUUUAUUAAUGUUUCCCCCAAAUGUUUUUUCUUCUGUUGACUUUAGUGAAGAGAAAUCAUGAGGUCGUUGUGGUGUGAAAGCAAAGAACUGAAGCAGAAGUUUGGUUCAAAUUAUUACAUUCUUGACACUUUGUAACAUCACAGCGAGUGUAUUAAUAACAUGUAUAUAUCUGCUGUCAACAGUCUAUUUAUUAAAUGUGUGUGUGUGAGUUGUGUC
This is a long non-coding RNA of Scophthalmus maximus (turbot), 1330 nucleotides long. RefSeq lists it as uncharacterized. The record is from RefSeq and is a predicted model, not a curated record. Lineage: Eukaryota; Metazoa; Chordata; Actinopteri; Pleuronectiformes; Scophthalmidae. The transcript is spliced from 2 exons.